UACGGGGGGAGCAAGCGUUGUUCGGAUUUACUGGGCGUAAAGGGCGCGUAGGCGGUAGCACAAGUCAGUUGUGAAAUCUCCGGGCUUAACUCGGAAAGGUCAACUGAUACUGUGCGACUAGAGUGCAGAAGGGGCAACUGGAAUUCUCGGUGUAGCGGUGAAAUGCGCAGAUAUCGAGAGGAACACCAGUGGCGAAGGCGAGUCCCUGGACAACACCUGACACUGAGGCACGAAAGCUAGGGGAGCAAACAGG
This 253-nucleotide ribosomal RNA is filed under the name uncultured bacterium. Its description in RNAcentral is "partial 16S ribosomal RNA". It matches the Rfam family "Bacterial small subunit ribosomal RNA", at positions 524 to 776 of the family's 1533-position model. The record is from RNAcentral.